AUGCACGCUGGCGGCGUGCCUAAUACCUGCAAGUCGAGCGCACAGACGAGGAGCUUGCUCCUCUGACGUUAGCGGCGGACGGGUGAGUAACACGUGGAUAACCUACCUAUAAGACUGGGAUAACUUCGGGAAACCGGAGCUAAUACCGGAUAAUAUAUUGAACCGCAUGGUUCAAUAGUGAAAGACGGUUUUGCUGUCACUUAUAGAUGGAUCCGCGCCGCAUUAGCUAGUUGGUAAGGUAACGGCUUACCAAGGCAACGAUGCGUAGCCGACCUGAGAGGGUGAUCGGCCACACUGGAACUGAGACACGGUCCAGACUCCUACGGGAGGCAGCAGUAGGGAAUCUUCCGCAAUGGGCGAAAGCCUGACGGAGCAACGCCGCGUGAGUGAUGAAGGUCUUCGGAUUGUAAAACUCUGUUAUUAGGGAAGAACAAAUGUGUAAGUAACUAUGCACGUCUUGACGGUACCUAAUCAGAAAGCCACGGCUAACUACGUG
RNAcentral lists this ribosomal RNA (496 nucleotides) under uncultured bacterium. RNAcentral describes it as "partial 16S ribosomal RNA". It matches the Rfam family "Bacterial small subunit ribosomal RNA", at positions 29 to 507 of the family's 1533-position model. The record is from RNAcentral.